Long non-coding RNA from Hippocampus comes (tiger tail seahorse), 699 nucleotides. RefSeq lists it as uncharacterized. The record is from RefSeq and is a predicted model, not a curated record. The transcript has 3 exons. Lineage: Eukaryota; Metazoa; Chordata; Actinopteri; Syngnathiformes; Syngnathidae.
UAAACUUCUGCUUGCCACCGGUUGACCUCCACAGAAGAACCAGCCAGGCUUUUCCUGUCAGGCUUCCUGUUUUUUUGACAGUGUGCACCACUUCCUGUCACUUCCUGGGAUUUUAAACCAAACUAGACCUAUCAGUCUCACAUACUGCUCAUUCACUUUAAUAGCAAAAGUUGAAAGCAAAAGAAAAAAGGAGUAACAAAAGAUUCCAAACUCCUUGAAACAUGAUAUACAAUUUUGCCUUGGGUGCAGGCUGCGUGUAUUUGAUAGUGGCGUGAUGGUGGUCCAGCUGCAGUCUCACAGCGAAGAGGAAAUGAUUGCCUCAGCGCUGGACAAUGUGACAGACAAAGGGUCCUUAACAGCUGAAGAGUUUGCUAAACUGUUGGGUCUCUCUGUACUUCUGUCUAAGGAGCGAUUGCUCCUGGCUGAGAAGAUGGGCCACCUUUGUCGAGAUGACUCCGUUGAGGGUUUGAGGUUCUACCCAAACCUCUUUUGAGGUUUUGCAUCCAUCCUGGAUUAACUUCAUAUCAUGUUCAGAACUAUUUUUGCUUGUGCACCCGUUCUUGUCAAACCAAAGUGUGCACAUUUGAGCUUGCUACAGAAUGGUGAUACUUACUCUCACUGUGUCAGAAAGGAAUGAUUAUGAAUGAAUGAAUGUGUAUGAAAUCCUGUUGUAAAUAAAUGCCACCAGGGCUAUUUUUA